Molecule: long non-coding RNA, 867 nt
Organism: Rhagoletis zephyria (snowberry fruit fly)
Lineage: Eukaryota; Metazoa; Arthropoda; Insecta; Diptera; Tephritidae
Source: RefSeq, a predicted model, not a curated record
UUUCGCUUGUUAGCGGUGUUUAAACAGAGAUCUCGCCAUUAUGCUAGAUUCUUCAAGUGAAGAUGAAAGCCAGGAGGAUACAUCCGACAUUUCAGCCCCCAUUUUAUUAUUAACCAAAAUAACUUAAUUUAUGGGUCGAUUACGGAUGGCAACACAACCACGCUUCGGUUGUCAGCUGGCAAUGCAACUGGAAAGAAAAUUUGUAUUACGAAUGGCAACUAUCCUCAGUUGCUGUAGUUAUCGAUAAUCGAAAUUUGACAGUUCAACAACCAGCAAGCGGCUGCAAACAAGCUGUGCGAGAGGAAGAGAAAUGCAUGAACGCGUCCUCAAUCAGGCGACACUUAAAGGAUAAUUCCAAUCCUCUAGAGCUACCGCGUGUACUGUAAGCAAAAGUUAAUGGUUUCUUUUGUUAUCGUUUUGUGUUCAUUUUCAAAGCAUAUUGAGGACUUCCAAAAGAAGCUGUAGUAUAAUUGGUUAAUAAACAGAUGAACCACUUCGUUCAAUUUCAAUACCUCCGCUCAUAAAAGCUUGCGCACAUCUUCGAUUUUUCGCAGAAGGAACUGCCACAGCAAUGACUUUAAUUUGGAAAACUGGGUGUGUCGGUAGUUUUAAAAAAGGUGCUUCAAUUGAUAAAGGAAAAAAAUUGCAAUCAGUGUUCGCUUUUUUUUCGCCAAAAGGGCGUUGUCCACGGGAACUAAAAUUUCAAGAUAUUGGUUUGUUAUUUUCACCAUAUUCUGUAAAAGCAAACUGCAUUGCAAAAUGUUAAUAUCGUUCAAAUUAUUAAAUAUAUGACACACUUUUCAAUUUUCGCUCCUAAAUACGCUCCAAAAACAUUCCCAGCAACCACUAAAAUGUAGUCGCCUGUAU